CUACGUGCCAGCAGCCGCGGUAAUACGUAGGUGGCAAGCGUUGUCCGGAAUUAUUGGGCGUAAAGCGCGCGCAGGCGGAUUGGUCAGUCUGUCUUAAAAGUUCGGGGCUUAACCCCGUGAUGGGAUGGAAGCUGCCAAUCUAGAGUAUCGGAGAGGAAAGUGGAAUUCCUAGUGUAGCGGUGAAAUGCGUAGAUAUUAGGAAGAACACCAGUGGCGAAGGCGACUUUCUGGACGAAAACUGACGCUGAGGCGCGAAAGCCAGGGGAGCGAACGGGAUUAGAUACCCCGGUAGUCCUGGCCGUAAACGAUGGGUACUAGGUGUAGGAGGUAUCGACCCCUUCUGUGCCGGAGUUAACGCAAUAAGUACCCCGCCUGGGGAGUACGACCGCAAGGUUGAAACUCAAAGGAAUUGACGGGGGCCCGCACAAGCGGUGGAGUAUGUGGUUUAAUUCGACGCAACGCGAAGAACCUUACCAGGUCUUGACAUUGAUGGACAGAACUAGAGAUAG
This 509-nucleotide ribosomal RNA is filed under the name uncultured bacterium. RNAcentral's name for it is "bacterial SSU rRNA". It matches the Rfam family "Bacterial small subunit ribosomal RNA", at positions 501 to 1009 of the family's 1533-position model. The record is from RNAcentral.